UAGCUUAGAUGGUAAAGAAUCUGCCUGCAAUGCAGGGGAACCAGGUUCGAUCCCUGG
RNAcentral lists this transfer RNA (57 nucleotides) under Ovis aries (sheep). It matches the Rfam family "tRNA", at positions 8 to 63 of the family's 71-position model. Rfam says of the family: Transfer RNA (tRNA) molecules are approximately 80 nucleotides in length. Their secondary structure includes four short double-helical elements and three loops (D, anti-codon, and T loops). Further hydrogen bonds mediate the characteristic L-shaped molecular structure. tRNAs have two regions of fundamental functional importance: the anti-codon, which is responsible for specific mRNA codon recognition, and the 3' end, to which the tRNAs corresponding amino acid is attached (by aminoacyl-tRNA synthetases). tRNAs cope with the degeneracy of the genetic code in two manners: having more than one tRNA (with a specific anti-codon) for a particular amino acid; and 'wobble' base-pairing, i.e. permitting non-standard base-pairing at the 3rd anti-codon position. Lineage: Eukaryota; Metazoa; Chordata; Mammalia; Artiodactyla; Bovidae. The record is from Rfam by way of RNAcentral.